RNAcentral lists this ribosomal RNA (253 nucleotides) under uncultured bacterium. RNAcentral describes it as "partial 16S ribosomal RNA". It matches the Rfam family "Bacterial small subunit ribosomal RNA", at positions 524 to 776 of the family's 1533-position model. The record is from RNAcentral.
UACGUAGGUGGCAAGCGUUGUCCGGAUUUACUGGGCGUAAAGCGUAUGCAGGCGGAUUGUUAAGUAGGAAGUGAAAGGUUGGAGCUCAACUCUAACACUGCUUCCUAUACUGGCAGUCUUGAGUGGCGGAGAGGAAGAUGGAACGACACGUGUAGCGGUGAAAUGCGUUGAUAUGUGUCGGAACACCAAUGGCGAAAGCAAUCUUCUGGACGCAAACUGACGCUGAGAUACGAAAGCCAAGGUAGCAAACAGG